Long non-coding RNA from Chroicocephalus ridibundus (black-headed gull), 442 nucleotides. RefSeq lists it as uncharacterized. NCBI's taxonomy places the organism in Eukaryota, Metazoa, Chordata, Aves, Charadriiformes, Laridae. The transcript is spliced from 3 exons. The record is from RefSeq and is a predicted model, not a curated record.
UGGGGUUGUUCUGUCCGGCUGAGGAAGGGGACAGGCUCCCUUUAUUCUCACAAUGAUCUGGCAACUUGUCAUCACUUUCCCCACUACGGUCUUGUCAUUUGGGACAACAGGAGAACUGCCUUUCACGCAACUGCUUCCAGUAGUGUUUUAACAUCAAGUUUCCAUGCAGAGGAUCUGGGGGAAAGAAAAGGCUCCAAAGGCCCAGAACGUACGACUGCAGGAAAAACAGGAGCAACAUUCCUUCUGGUCCCCCUCCCCAUUUUGUUACCUAAACUCUGCAAGCCGUACGAGUAAGUUGCUCAGGAAUAAGACUUGCUUACAGCUACUCAGCAGCCCUCAGGGAGAAGGUGGCACUUUCCUCCGUUUUAUUUGGGGUAAAUUUACAAGCACAACCUUCCAUUUGCGGCAGUCAUGACUCCACCAAAACAGUCCCUGCUGGGUC